GCUGGCGGUGUGCCUAACACAUGCAAGUCGUACGAGAAAGUCCCCGCAAGGGGAUGAGUAAAGUGGCGAACGGGUGAGUAACACGUAGGUAAUCUGCCCUUCAGUUGGGGAUAACUCCGCGAAAGCGGGGCUAAUACCAGAUGAAAUCCCGAAGGCGCAUGCUUUUGGGAUCAAAGAUGGCCUCUGUCUCAAGCUAUCGCUGAAGGAUGAGCCUGCGGCUGAUUAGCUUGUUGGUAGGGUAACGGCCUACCAAGGCGAUGAUCAGUAGCCGGCCUGAGAGGGUGAUCGGCCACACUGGAACUGAAACACGGUCCAGACUCCUACGGGAGGCAGCAGUGGGGAAUAUUGCGCAAUGGGCGAAAGCCUGACGCAGCAACGCCGCGUGGGUGAUGAAGGCCUUCGGGUUGUAAAGCCCUGUCAGUUGGAACGAAUCUCUUUCGAGCGAAUAACUUGAGAGAAUGACGGUACCACCAGAGGAAGCCCCGGCAAACUACGUGCCAGCAGCCGCGGUAAUACGUAGGGGGCGAGCGUUGUUCGGAAUUACUGGGCGUAAAGAGCGCGUAGGCGGUCAAAUAAGUCAGGUGUGAAAUCCCUCAGCUUAACUGAGGUUUGGCGCUUGAAACUAUUUGACUUGAGUUUAGGAGAGGAGAGUGGAAUUCCCAGUGUAGCGGUGAAAUGCGUAGAUAUUGGGAGGAACACCGGUGGCGAAGGCGGCUCUCUGGACUAAUACUGACGCUGAGGCGCGAAAGCUAGGGGAGCAAACAGGAUUAGAUACCCUGGUAGUCCUAGCCGUAAACGAUGGGCACUAGGUGUGGGAGGUAUCGACCCCUUCCGUGCCGCAGCUAACGCAUUAAGUGCCCCGCCUGGGGAGUAUGGCCGCAAGGCUGAAACUCAAAGGAAUUGACGGGGGCCCGCACAAGCGGUGGAGCAUGUGGUUUAAUUCGACGCAACGCGAAGAACCUUACCAGGGCUUGACAUCCUGCGAAUCCCGGCGAAAGCUGGGAGUGCCCGCAAGGGAACGCAGAGACAGGUGGUGCAUGGCUGUCGUCAGCUCGUGUCGUGAGAUGUUGGGUUAAGUCCCGCAACGAGCGCAACCCUCACCCUUUGUUGCCAUCAGGUCGUGCUGGGUACUCUAAGGGAACUGCCCCGGUUAACGGGGAGGAAGGUGAGGACGACGUCAAGUCAUCAUGCCCCUUACGCUCUGGGCUACACACGUGCUACAAUGGCCAAUACAAAGGGCUGCAAACCCGCGAGGGGGAGCCAAUCCCAAAAAGUUGGUCUCAGUUCAGAUUGCAGGCUGAAACCCGCCUGCAUGAAGGAGGAAUCGCUAGUAAUCGUGGAUCAGCAUGCCACGGUGAAUACGUUCCCGGGCCUUGUACACACCGCCCGUCACACCACGAAAGUCUGUUGUACUCGAAGUCGUUGAGCCAACCCGCAAGGGAGGCAGGCGCCGAAGGUAUGGCAGGUGAUUGGGGUGAAGUCGUAACAAGGUA
RNAcentral lists this ribosomal RNA (1493 nucleotides) under metagenome. RNAcentral describes it as "bacterial SSU rRNA". It matches the Rfam family "Bacterial small subunit ribosomal RNA". The record is from RNAcentral.